This is a long non-coding RNA of Leptopilina heterotoma, 1365 nucleotides long. RefSeq lists it as uncharacterized. The record is from RefSeq and is a predicted model, not a curated record. NCBI's taxonomy places the organism in Eukaryota, Metazoa, Arthropoda, Insecta, Hymenoptera, Figitidae. The transcript has 3 exons.
AGUGAACGUUACAGUGAGCAUAGCAAUAGUGUGUCAGUACUCUUGUAACAGUUUUGUAGAGGAGAGUCUAGAAUAGAGUAAAUGUUGGUGUUAACGCGUUGAUACAAACGCGUCUUCCUAUGUAUUCUAUAUGGACGAGCGCGUUACUAUCAGCGCGUUCGACUCUAUUUUGGACUCUCCUUAGCAGUGAGAACAUGUAGCACUCGUAACAGUCAUCAUGUAACAGUGCUGUUGUUAAAGUCGUAGCAUUCGUAGCGUGUUCAACUCGUUCGCAGUAGUGAUUCAUAUCAAUGAUGUGUGUUGCAUAGUGUAUGUGAAUGAAUAGCUGAGAAGGUUCAAUUCGAGAGAUUUAAUGUAAUAUUCGUGAUUUUAAUUGCUGAUUCAUGAUGGAGUUGUGUGAAACAUUUGAGUAACAUUAAUAUUAUUCAGCACAUGAUUUGUGUGUACAAGUAUUAUUAUUUCUCCUCGUGACAAAGAUAAGCAUUUUAUCAAUUAUUUGGAGAAAGAUAUUUUAGAAGGACAGAAGAUGUUGAAUCAUUUUAUUGAGGAGAAAAACAAAAUAUUCAAUACAAAUUUUGAAAUCAAGUUUGAAUCGCAAUAAAACGGAUCAUCAAAAUGAAAAGAUUCGAGCAAAGAUUCGUUAUUGUUUUUAUUUACUUGAGGAAGUAAUAUUUUGCCGAUAAAAUUCCAUGGAAAGUUGCUUACCACAAUGAGGUGACUAAUGGUUCUUUUUUCAUUUAUGUGUCAAUGAAUAUGUUUAUGCAUUUCUGGGAUAGCGUUACUUAUUUGACGCACGCUGAUUACACAUUUUUUGAUAAUUUGCAGUCACUGCUUGAUAGAUGGAAAGCACCAAUAUUUAUAUAUCUUUAUGCUUGAUGUUUUUUGUAUAGAUAUUGAGGCAAUUAUUGAUUUUUUAAAGUAUGCUCGCAUUUGCUGUAGUUAUUUGGUCAUCUUUCACAUGUACUUCAGGAGGAUACAUUUUUUAAAAGCGUGAUUUGUUUGAGAAGAGUGAAAUUUAUCAUUGACGUCAUCGUGUGUGUAAAGUGUAUAAAACUGAGUAAAAAUUACUUGCUGAUUGUGAUUGGCUUUGCAUUUGAUUAAUUUUGUCAAAAAUUCUUCUUUAUAGUUUUCAGUUGAAAGAAAAUAAAAAGUAUAUCCAUUUAUAGAUUUAUUAUUAUUUAUUUAUUAUUCUAAAAGUUUAGUUUCUCAACUUUAAAACACAAUUGUAAGACAAUCUUCGUAUCCAGUGAAUGGACUGAGUUACUUAAGUUUUACAAGAGUACUGCAAAUGUCUUUUUUUACCACCUGGUAGGAGGAAAAAGCCACCUCGAGAUAUUAGCAAAAUAUGUUAUUAAAUUUCUUAUU